This 465-nucleotide ribosomal RNA is filed under the name uncultured bacterium. RNAcentral's name for it is "partial 16S ribosomal RNA". It matches the Rfam family "Bacterial small subunit ribosomal RNA", at positions 28 to 507 of the family's 1533-position model. The record is from RNAcentral.
GACGAACGCUGGCGGCGGGCCUAACACAUGCAAGUCGAACGGAAAGGCCCCUCUUGGGGUUCUCGACUGCGGAACGGGGGAGUAAAACGCCUGUAAACUUCCCUUGACUUCGGGGUAAACUUCGGAAACUGGGGCUAAUUCCGGCAAGGGAUCCUUGCUGCAUGGUGGGGGUUGGAAAGCUUUGGCGGUUUUGGAUGGACUUGCGGCUUAUUAGCUUGUUGGUGGGGUAGUGGCUUACCAAGGCUUUGACGGGUAGCUGGACUGAGAGGGUGACCGGCCACACUGGGUCUGAGGUGCGGCCCAGGCGCCUACGGGUGGCAGCAGUGGGGAAGAUUGCACAAUGGGCGGAGGCCUGGUGCAGCAGCGCCGCGGGCGGGAUGACGGCCUUCGGGUUGUGAACCGCUAUCAGCAGGGGAGAAUCUUGUGGUGACGGUACCUGCAGAAGAAGCACCGGCUAACUACGUG